AUUGAACGCUGGCGGGCAGGCCUAACACAUGCAAGUCGAACGGUAGCACAGAGAGCUUGCUCUCGGGUGACGAGUGGCGGACGGGUGAGUAAUGUCUGGGAAACUGCCUGAUGGAGGGGGAUAACUACUGGAAACGGUAGCUAAUACCGCAUAACGUCGCAAGACCAAAGAGGGGGACCUUCGGGCCUCUUGCCAUCAGAUGUGCCCAGAUGGGAUUAGCUAGUAGGUGGGUAACGGCUCACCUAGGCGACGAUCCCUAGCUGGUCUGAGAGGAUCGACCAGCCACACUGGAACUGAGACACGGUCCAGACUCCUACGGGAGGCAGCAGUGGGGAAUAUUGGACAAUGGGCGCAAGCCUGAUCCAG
RNAcentral lists this ribosomal RNA (366 nucleotides) under uncultured bacterium. Its description in RNAcentral is "bacterial SSU rRNA". It matches the Rfam family "Bacterial small subunit ribosomal RNA", at positions 30 to 391 of the family's 1533-position model. The record is from RNAcentral.